Pelobates cultripes (western spadefoot toad) is the source of this 3510-nucleotide non-coding RNA. NCBI's taxonomy places the organism in Eukaryota, Metazoa, Chordata, Amphibia, Anura, Pelobatidae. The record is from the annotation of a GenBank genome assembly.
UACAAUUCUUGAAAAUGAAAUUGAUGUCCAUGAAGAUGUAAAAAAGUCACUAACGAAUGCUCCUCUACUUAGACAGGGAUAACUUUCAAAUAUUUGGAGACACCUGUAUCAUGGGCAUGUGAACAGACACAAAAAUUGUACUAGGAAAUAAUUUUAACAAAUUCUGUUACAUUAUAGAACAUCGAAGAAUGUGCCCUAAAAGGGGCCAUAGCUGAUAUGCUCACAGUGACAGCGGUGUUCUAAGAGAGACAUGUGGCUAGACUCCAGCAAGUGUGAGGCCUUAUGUGGUUUUACUAGAUUAAUAAUAGAGCCGCCUCUGAUUAUAUCUAAUGGUGAUUUGAGGGUAUGUAAUUGUGUUGUACUUCUGUCACUCUGGCUGUUUUGAGUUUGGAUUACCAUGACUCUCAACCAGACAUUUUAAGCUGUCUGUACAUCAUGGUAGUGUAGCACCAAAAAGUAGUAAAUAUACUUGAUAAAUAAUUAUUUUUACUCAUCCAAAAGGAACUCCACUUUGUCCUAUUUUUUUGUUUUUUAAAUCAUGUUGCCUUAGGAGUGCACUGAACCCACCUAAAGAGGGCAAAAUCAUAGCUAAAUAUUUGAAAUUGAUGAUAAUUAAUAUAUGCAACUACUUGUGUGUCUUCCCCAAAUAAAUCGCACCAGAGUGAAUAAACAAACACAAAAAUUAAGCACAGAUAAAAUAUAAAUAAAUACAUGGACCCACAUCAGUGUAUUUAUGUUUUAGCCGUGUUUUAUAGUAUAUAUUGUGUUGAGGACACUGAACUUAAAUCUUUAGUAGAGAAAAGAGAAGUGCUAGAUCAAUACAUACAACAAAGCUGUUCUGUUUUUCUUUUAAAUUGUAGGGAGAUCGGAUUCAUCUGAUGCAAUUUGGUUGCAAACCUCUCAAACAAUGAUAAACGUUUUGCAUCAAAGAUGGAAUUUUAAUUGGCAUUUUAUUGCCAGCUGUGCUCUAGAUGAGUAUCAUUAAAACAAAGUCAAAACCUUAAAAUAUCUGUCUGCGCAUCCACAAUUACAAAAAAAUAAAAACAAAGUGUUGUAAACAGGGGCAACUCUAUGAACAAUAUGUUUGGGGGGCAUGCCACGAAACUGGGGGAAGGGGAAGGAAGGGCACUAAUAAUUUCCACUAGAGGGCUGGUUAACGUUCUGUCACUGGCUGUCUAAUGCUGGUAUCAAACAACACAAUUGCACAAAAUUCACAUUGGCCACCAAGAAUUCAUGAUCUGGGCUGGCUAAUGAUACCUAUUAACUUUGAUCUUUCAUUGGUUUAGCAGAUAACUUCCUUAAAUGCAGUCUUCUUGUGGGAUUGCCAUAUUUAAGGACACUAAAUAAGGGAGCUAUCUGCUAAACAGUGCUCUAGUUUGGUAUUCUUCAAUAAGGAAAUCUAAUAAGGGAACUACUUUAGGGCAUCAUCUGCUAAAUAGCUGAAAAGCCCAAAUGAAGAAUCACUUCUUAAUUUUUUAUAUUUUAGUUAUUUAGUAGAUAACUCUCUUAUUUGUAAUCCUUAUGUAGGAUCAGAAUAUUUAAGGAUAACAAAUUAAAGCCCUAUCCACCAAACAUGUAUACAUAUUUUAUAUAGAUAUACAGAUAUAAUCACAGACAUACACACAAUCACAUGCAUAAUCACAACACACACACACAACCACAGGCAUACUUACAAUCACAUGCAUAAUCACAACAUACACACACACACACAACCACAGGCAUACCUACAAUCACAAGCAUAAGCAUGGAUGCACACAAUCAAUGACUUACACCCACAAAGACACACAUACUGACAUACAAAAUCACAUUUAUACACACACACACACACAUUUAAUAAUAAGAGGUCCACCCAGCCUCCUUACCUUGCCCUGGGAGAUCUGGAGUAGAUCCACUCACUGGUAGACAGUGUUUUUUUUUGCAAGGGUCACUGUGCUCUCCCUGCACAGCUCCCUCACAUGUCCUGUAGUGAUACCUUUGCGGGAUUAUAUCCUAUCCUGGCUACUGGCUCACUGUAAGGGAGCAGUAGAGGAAGAGCACAGUAAGUACAGAGCGCCAUGCCUCCCAUGCUGCAUGGAGUCCCCAUCUUCCCUCAACUGAAAACCUAUUUUGAGAUAUUUUGUCAGAGAAGCCACUUGCCAUGUGGUUAGGCAGGCGCCUACUCUGCCCAGUUACUUAUUGUUAGGCGCACCUUCAAGUGGCCCCGCUUGAUCCCCUGUACUGACACAAUAUGUCAUAGAGAAGUAGAAUAAUGUGUGAAUAUAAAUACAGUGAAAUCUUUAGCAUUUUAUUAAAACAAAACUUGAAAUACUCUUUUAUAUUGUAGUACAUAUGCUUGUGUAGCGUCAUAAUCUUACAAUAGAAUGUAAUAUCUUAUACUUCACAUACUGCCAUUCACAAAAGCCUUUCAAAAGACUUCCAUUUUUGUCAGACCGCUCUUUAGACCUUUUUAUGCAAGUGAAAAAGCUAUUUUCUUAAGACUUCCUAAAAAGCAUUUAAAAGUUCACUUGUUACAGAUGCCAAACAACAUCCAAAAGGAUCCCUGGACGUCCGAGGCUUAACAUCUUUCUGAAAGGUUGCUCUCUAAUUUGUAUCUUACCAUGGAAAAUUGACUUGUAUCGAACAACAAAAUGAACACACAGACAUGUGAACUGUUUGAGAUGUUUUGGGGGGUUUUUAUGCGCAUGUUUUGGCAGAUUUUUCUGAAGCAUGAUGUAAAAUUUCCAGAUAUUGGUUAAAUAAUGGUAAACAAUGUGUAUAAUCCACAGUGAAAAAUAGAGGAAAAGAAAAAGUAUGUAUCGUUGUUUGCUGUCUGACCUGUAUGCUAUAAUUACAUAUUGUAUUUUUUUCAUGGAAAUAUAUAACUUUUUUUUUUUUUAUCCCUUAUGUAUUUAAUGAGCAAUUAUUUUUAAUUUUGAAUGUGGGAACUGGAUUUAAAAAAAAAAAAAAACUAAAAACUGUGUAAACUGUAGCCUUGAACACUUCAGUCAUGGAAUGUUUGCAGUGAUGUACUUUGUUUUUUUUGGUUUUUUUGUAUGUGUUUUUUCCCCUCAAUACUGAAGAUUCUUUUAUUUAAUGAUACAUAUGAAAUUGCUAAUAUAUUACCAAUCAACCAUUUAAUAUGUGUAAAUAUUAAAGUAAAAAUGGACUAAAUAAUUCAGAACGAUAAAAAUGAAUUAUUUUUUUCAAAACAGAGAAUUAACUUUUUUAUAUUUAAAUUAAUGCUAUCCCACCAUUAAGAAUAGGGGCUUCCUAUAUUUCUUUCUAGUGUUUAAGAUGCAAGUUUGGUUUUGUCGAUGUACCAUUACUCAUCUGACCUUGUUCUAUAUGCCAGUUGUAACUGAUAAAUGAUCUAGUACUAAAUAAAAGCGCAUGAGGAAUAUGUUUUUUAUUUUAUUUAAUAUCAAGUGGUGAAGGCAUCACAAUGCACUUUCUAAGUCCAAUAUAUAUGAUUGUGUCUAGAUUUCCAUGACUCUACAAAAAUGUUUGUCUAGUUGUCUAAUAAAAUAGAGC